Molecule: long non-coding RNA, 2286 nt
Organism: Mobula hypostoma (lesser devil ray)
Lineage: Eukaryota; Metazoa; Chordata; Chondrichthyes; Myliobatiformes; Myliobatidae
Exons: 5
Source: RefSeq, a predicted model, not a curated record
CUUAGUUGACUGAAGAAGUUCAGCGUGAGGCUCCAGAUCCUCAAGACCUUCUGCAGGGGCACUAUUGAGAGCAUUCUGAUGGCUGUAUCACCGCCUGGUACGGGCACUGCACCAACCUUGGUCACUGGGCACUGCAGAGAGUGGUACGGACAGCCCAGCGCAUCUGUGGACGUGAACUUCCCUCCAUUGAGGACAUUUACAGCAGCAGGUGCAGAAAGAAGGCCUGGAAGUUCAUCAGGGUCACCGGUCACCCCAACCAGAAACUGUUUUAGCCACUUCCAUCUGGCAAACGAUAUCACAGCAUUAAAGCCAGCACCGACAGGCUACGGGGCAGCUUCUUUCUACAAGCCGUUAGACUUUUAAAUUCACAUGUCUGUUCAUUGUGAUGGAGUCAUAACACAAAGAUUUUUACUCCCUCAUGUUGUGGGAUGGAUGCUCUUUGAUAAUCUUCUAGCAGUAGAAUUGGCUUAGCUGCACACCAGUCAGCAUCCACUCCAACACAAAGUGUCUGAGGCUUCUCGCUGAAGUGUCCAACAAUAAUCAGCCAACAUUGAUGAUGGAUUCCAGUUACCCCGAUCCCAUUUCUCCAUGACCGCAAUGUCCUGGUGAAACCUUUCACCACCCUUGUCACUGACAGUGCCAAGAUUUGCAGGAAAGAAGUCUAAAUGGGAAUGCAGAAAAUGAAUCUUUAGUGACAUGUUACACUUUAUGGUUUUGUAUGCUUGAUGCUCGUUGUCAACCAGCUGCAUGUAGUUUGGUGCUCGGAAGUUGCCAAGAAAAUUUUCAACAACAUCCUUCGAUUCCUUCCAUGCAGUUUUCUCUGGUCCCACUAGAAGUUCUUUGAGUUGCCUGUCAUUGAUGACCCAUUUGAUUUGUGGACCAACAAAAACACCUUCCUUCAUGUUGGCAUCAGUUAUUCUGAUUUGAAUUACAAAUGAAAUAACAUUACAAAGAAAAGGUGCAUGGUGGGAAAUUCUCAUGGUGAUUUUCAUGAUCAGCAGCCUAAAAUCUAUAAGGUAUACCCAAAAGUAUCCAGGAAGCAACAUCUUUGUUGUCCAAUGUUACCCAGUCUCCACUUCAGUGUUGUUCCUGUGAGCUGCUCUACAAAAAUUAGUUUUCAUGUAUCCUAAACUACAAAAAUAACCCCACUUAAUAAUGAUAUUAUUGCUUGAAUGGCCAUUAGGGACAACCUGAAGUCAAAGUACUGUAUAAAUGUGAAUAUUUAUUUUAAUCUUGUUGUGUUGGUUGCACUGUCCUGACAAACAGAAUCCAAGCACAAUGAACUCUCCACUCAUUGUCUCUGACAACUUCACUAUUUCUGACUCUCAGCUCAGAUAAUUUAGUGCCUCUCGUGAAGCUUUUCCAAUAUCUCCAACCUCUUAGAAGAUUUUGCAUCCACAGUUGCUGUGUGAAUUCACUUUCUCUGCUAUGUACAUGGAUGAUACAGAAAUUUAAACCUUGUGGGACUUGUUGUUUCUGCAAUAAAAAGAUGUUCCAGAGUUAAGUGAAGAUCUAAUGACACAACAUCUGUUCCGGCAAAUUGGAACGGAUCCAAGUCACUUCUCAGGCAAGAGUUGAUAUGUUUCAUCACCAACUUCUCAAAACACUUCAUCACUGUGGAUGGGCCAACACGCACUUCCAUCCAAAACCAGGUGGAAAGGAUAUGUGCUUCGUACCAGUUGAAGAUAUUCUGGUCAGGCUGAUGGAGCCAUCAUCACCGGGUCAUGCAAGCAGGAUGAGGGAGAUCUACCACCUGUCUGCUGAAGUCAUGGACUUCAUAGAGGAGGAGCAUAUUAAUCGUCUACUUCCUGAUAAAGCUGACUGAACGUUUUCGAAGACUUUCAAGCCCAGAAAUAGAUGGAGAUUUUUUUUUAGUUCCUGGUGUGUUUUCUGAUGUUUAUUCUUAAACACUGCAGUUGUACUGUAGUUUUUAUUUUGCUGUUUACUGUUGUUAAUAUUUACGGAAGGAUAAAAUGUACAUGACAAGUUGUUAUUUGUUGUACCAAAUUGUUAAAUAAAGUUGUUAAGCAAGGAAGCAUUGACUUGAGUGGUGAAAAGGUUGGAAUUGUUUGUUGUAAUUAGGCCACUGCCACCACCGUCAGGUCUCAGUCACCACCGUCAGAUGGAACUUUCUUUGUUUUAAAUUAAUAUGCUUACAAUCUGUUCCUCCAAAAUAUUUGAUUUAAUAAAGUAAUUCUCUCUUUAAAAUUAAAAAUGUGUUCUUUUAUGUCCAAAAUUGUUAUUUUGUAUAUUUAAUGCUCAUGAUAAAAGUUGCAUGAUGUAAGA